AGCGAACGCUGGCGGCAGGCCUAACACAUGCAAGUCGAGCGCCCGUAGCAAUACGGGAGCGGCAGACGGGUGAGUAACACGUGGGAACGUACCCUUCGGUUCGGAAUAACCCAGGGAAACUUGGAUUAAUACCGAAUACGUCCGUAAGGAGAAAGAUUUAUCGCCGAAGGAUCGGCCCGCGUCCGAUUAGCUUGUUGGUGGGGUAAUGGCCCACCAAGGCUGCGAUCGGUAGCUGGUCUGAGAGGAUGAUCAGCCACACUGGGACUGAGACACGGCCCAGACUCCUACGGGAGGCAGCAGUGGGGAAUAUUGGACAAUGGGGGAAACCCUGAUCCAGCAAUGCCGCGUGAGUGAAGAAGGCCUUAGGGUUGUAAAGCUCUUUCGGCGGGACGAUGGUGACGGUACCCGNAGAAGAAGCCCCGGCUAACUUCGUGCCAGCAGCCGCAGUAAC
Molecule: ribosomal RNA, 451 nt
Filed under: uncultured bacterium
Lineage: Bacteria
Description: bacterial SSU rRNA
Rfam family: Bacterial small subunit ribosomal RNA
Source: RNAcentral